GACGAACGCUGGCGGCGUGCUUAACACAUGCAAGUCGAACGGAAAGGCCCUGCUUUUGUGGGGUGCUCGAGUGGCGAACGGGUGAGUAACACGUGAGUAACCUGCCCUUGACUUUGGGAUAACUUCAGGAAACUGGGGCUAAUACCGGAUAGGAGCUCCUGCUGCAUGGUGGGGGUUGGAAAGUUUCGGCGGUUGGGGAUGGACUCGCGGCUUAUCAGCUUGUUGGUGGGGUAGUGGCUUACCAAGGCUUUGACGGGUAGCCGGCCUGAGAGGGUGACCGGCCACAUUGGGACUGAGAUACGGCCCAGACUCCUACGGGAGGCAACAGUGGGGAAUAUUGCACAAUGGGCGGAAGCCUGAUGCAGCAACGCCGCGUGCGGGAUGACGGCCUUCGGGUUGUAAACCGCUUUCGCCUGUGACGAAGCGUGAGUGGCGGUAAUGGGUAAAGAAGCACCGGCUAACUACGUG
RNAcentral lists this ribosomal RNA (468 nucleotides) under uncultured bacterium. Its description in RNAcentral is "partial 16S ribosomal RNA". It matches the Rfam family "Bacterial small subunit ribosomal RNA", at positions 28 to 507 of the family's 1533-position model. The record is from RNAcentral.